Long non-coding RNA from Micropterus dolomieu (smallmouth bass), 406 nucleotides. RefSeq lists it as uncharacterized. The record is from RefSeq and is a predicted model, not a curated record. The transcript is spliced from 3 exons. Lineage: Eukaryota; Metazoa; Chordata; Actinopteri; Centrarchiformes; Centrarchidae.
CUUAACAGCAUCACCAUUACACCGGGCCUUUUGGAAGAGCUGGACAAAGGCAUCAACCCAGCAGCAGGACCGGUAUCUGCUCCUUUGUGCUAGGAGGAACCACAGGAGCACUGCCAGAUCCCUACAAAAUGACCUCCAGCAGGCUACAGUUCUGCCCCAGGAGUGCUACAGCUGAUUGCUGAAUGAGGUCCACCUGGCCUUGGAAGGCGGUAUUUCAAAGCUCCUGUGCCAGCAUCAGAAAGGAGGAUUUUUGAGUUGGGACUGCUGGUCUUACUGCCUCUCAGCCGUGGAUUUUGGGUCAGCGUUGGAGUGUUGUUUGCCCCAUGUAGCCACCAGUGGGUGGUGCUCUUUCCGUCUGUCUCCGCAACGCAUUUUCAUCUCAAUGCGUCAUAACAGACGCUUUCAG